GGGGGUGUAGCUCAGUUGGUAGAGCAUCGGACUUUUAAUCCGCAGGUCCAGGGUUCGAGUCCCUGCGCCCCUA
This 73-nucleotide transfer RNA is filed under the name Phycisphaera sp. Its description in RNAcentral is "tRNA-Lys". It matches the Rfam family "tRNA". From Rfam's summary of the family: Transfer RNA (tRNA) molecules are approximately 80 nucleotides in length. Their secondary structure includes four short double-helical elements and three loops (D, anti-codon, and T loops). The record is from RNAcentral. RNAcentral also lists the same sequence under 2 other names. Lineage: Bacteria; Pseudomonadati; Planctomycetota; Phycisphaerae; Phycisphaerales; Phycisphaeraceae.